Molecule: ribosomal RNA, 1438 nt
Filed under: uncultured bacterium
Lineage: Bacteria
Description: 16S ribosomal RNA
Rfam family: Bacterial small subunit ribosomal RNA
Source: RNAcentral
CUUAACACAUGCAAGUCGAACGGAAAGGCCCUGCUUUUGUGGGGUGCUCGAGUGGCGAACGGGUGAGUAACACGUGAGUAACCUGCCCUUGACUUUGGGAUAACUUCAGGAAACUGGGGCUAAUACCGGAUAGGAGCUCCUGCUGCAUGGUGGGGGUUGGAAAGUUUCGGCGGUUGGGGAUGGACUCGCGGCUUAUCAGCUUGUUGGUGGGGUAGUGGCUUACCAAGGCUUUGACGGGUAGCCGGCCCGAGAGGGUGACCGGCCACAUUGGGACUGAGAUACGGCCCAGACUCCUACGGGAGGCAGCAGUGGGGAAUAUUGCACAAUGGGCGGAAGCCUGAUGCAGCAACGCCGCGUGCGGGAUGACGGCCUUCGGGUUGUAAACCGCUUUCGCCUGUGACGAAGCGUGAGUGACGGUAAUGGGUAAAGAAGCACCGGCUAACUACGUGCCAGCAGCCGCGGUGAUACGUAGGGUGCGAGCGUUGUCCGGAUUUAUUGGGCGUAAAGGGCUCGUAGGUGGUUGAUCGCGUCGGAAGUGUAAUCUUGGGGCUUAACCCUGAGCGUGCUUUCGAUACGGGUUGACUUGAGGAAGGUAGGGGAGAAUGGAAUUCCUGGUGGAGCGGUGGAAUGCGCAGAUAUCAGGAGGAACACCAGUGGCGAAGGCGGUUCUCUGGGCCUUUCCUGACGCUGAGGAGCGAAAGCGUGGGGAGCGAACAGGCUUAGAUACCCUGGUAGUCCACGCUGUAAACGGUGGGUACUAGGUGUGGGGUCCAUUCCACGGGUUCCGUGCCGUAGCUAACGCUUUAAGUACCCCGCCUGGGGAGUACGGCCGCAAGGCUAAAACUCAAAGGAAUUGACGGGGCCCCGCACAAGCGGCGGAGCAUGCGGAUUAAUUCGAUGCAACGCGUAGAACCUUACCUGGGUUUGACAUGGAUCGGGAGUGCUCAGAGAUGGGUGUGCCUCUUUUGGGGUCGGUUCACAGGUGGUGCAUGGCUGUCGUCAGCUCGUGUCGUGAGAUGUUGGGUUAAGUCCCGCAACGAGCGCAACCCUUGUUCACUGUUGCCAGCACGUUAUGGUGGGGACUCAGUGGAGACCGCCGGGGUCAACUCGGAGGAAGGUGGGGAUGACGUCAAGUCAUCAUGCCCCUUAUGUCCAGGGCUUCACGCAUGCUACAAUGGCUGGUACAGAGAGUGGCGAGCCUGUGAGGGUGAGCGAAUCUCGGAAAGCCGGUCUCAGUUCGGAUUGGGGUCUGCAACUCGACCUCAUGAAGUCGGAGUCGCUAGUAAUCGCAGAUCAGCAACGCUGCGGUGAAUACGUUCCCGGGGCUUGUACACACCGCCCGUCAAGUCAUGAAAGUUGGUAACACCCGAAGCCGGUGGCCUAACCGUUGUGGGGGAGCCGUCGAAGGUGGGACUGGUGAUUAGGACUAAGUCGUAAC